AGGUUUCAGUAGCUGAGAGUGUCAUUGCUUUCAAAGGUAAGGUUGGGUUCAUGACGUAUCAUCCGAAGAAGCCACACAAACGGGGAAUGACUGCUUGGACAUUGUUCGAUGCCAGAACAGGUUAUGUCUACAACCAGAAGCUGCGUGUCAAGUUGGGAGGACAAGCCGCCACUGGGCGAACAGUUACUGGCCUGUAUGAGGUUAUUGCAGGUAAGAAUCACCAAUUAUUUUUCUUCUCCAGAACUUUUUACUCAGUUACAGGAUAUAGGUUGCGGUGCAUGUGGUACACUGAGAGCGAAUAGGAUAGGAACAGCAGAAGACAUCCAGAAUGCUAAUCCUGCUGUCGGCGACACUGUGUAUUCAGGAGAAAUGGAAAUCAACUGUACGUUGUAUGGAAGGACAAGAGGAAGGUGACUCUCAUGACAAACCUGUGCAACUCGAGGACAUAUGAGAGGCAUAGGAGAGAAAGACACAGAAAAAUGUUGAGCACGAAACCCUGCGCCAUCAAACUUUACACCCAGCAACGAGCUUAUGUGUCCUGUGCCUUGAUUCCAGUGAUUCCACAUACUCAUGGACUACAAAACAAAAUGCACCAAGGAAUACCACCACUAAACUGUGAGUAUGACAACAGAAUUUGGAGGCAACAUUGGAGAAGAUACAGUUUUAGAUUUCAUUGAUGGCGGUGGUAAUGUUUUAGUAGCUGCAGGUUCAAGUAUAGGUGACCCUAUAAGGGGAAUUGGAAGUAAUUGUGGUGUUGAAUUUGAUGAGGAAAACACAGCUGUAAUAGAUCAGCUUAAC
Anneissia japonica is the source of this 798-nucleotide RNA transcript. RefSeq lists it as uncharacterized. The record is from RefSeq and is a predicted model, not a curated record. Lineage: Eukaryota; Metazoa; Echinodermata; Crinoidea; Comatulida; Comatulidae. The transcript is spliced from 4 exons.